UCAGGAUGAACGCUAGCUACAGGCUUAACACAUGCAAGUCGAGGGGAAACGACAUCGAAAGCUUGCUUUUGAUGGGCGUCGACCGGCGCACGGGUGAGUAACGCGUAUCCAACCUGCCCACCACUUGGGGAUAACCUUGCGAAAGUAAGACUAAUACCCAAUGAUAUCUCAAGAAGCCAUCUGAAUGAGAUUAAAGAUUUAUCGGUGAUGGAUGGGGAUGCGUCUGAUUAGCUUGUUGGCGGGGUAACGGCCCACCAAGGCGACGAUCAGUAGGGGUUCUGAGAGGAAGGUCCCCCACAUUGGAACUGAGACACGGUCCAAACUCCUACGGGAGGCAGCAGUGAGGAAUAUUGGUCAAUGGGCGAGAGCCUGAACCAGCCAAGUAGCGUGCAGGAUGACGGCCCUAUGGGUUGUAAACUGCCUUUAUAAGGGAAUAAAGUGAGUCUCGUGAGACUUUUUGCAUGUACCUUAUGAAUAAGGACCGGCUAAUUCCGUGCCAGCAGCCGCGGUAAUACGGAAGGUCCGGGCGUUAUCCGGAUUUAUUGGGUUUAAAGGGAGCGUAGGCCGGAGAUUAAGCGUGUUGUGAAAUGUAGACGCUCAACGUCUGCACUGCAGCGCGAACUGGUUUCCUUGAGUACGCACAAAGUGGGCGGAAUUCGUGGUGUAGCGGUGAAAUGCUUAGAUAUCACGAAGAACUCCGAUUGCGAAGGCAGCUCACUGGAGCGCAACUGACGCUGAAGCUCGAAAGUGCGGGUAUCGAACAGGAUUAGAUACCCUGGUAGUCCGCACGGUAAACGAUGGAUGCCCGCUGUUGGUCUGAAUAGGUCAGCGGCCAAGCGAAAGCAUUAAGCAUCCCACCUGGGGAGUACGCCGGCAACGGUGAAACUCAAAGGAAUUGACGGAAGG
This 906-nucleotide ribosomal RNA is filed under the name uncultured bacterium. RNAcentral's name for it is "bacterial SSU rRNA". It matches the Rfam family "Bacterial small subunit ribosomal RNA", at positions 24 to 920 of the family's 1533-position model. The record is from RNAcentral.